UACGUAGGUGGCAAGCGUUGUCCGGAAUUAUUGGGCGUAAAGCGCGCGCAGGCGGCCUUUUAAGUCUGAUGUGAAAGCCCACGGCUCAACCGUGGAAGGUCAUUGGAAACUGAAAGGCUUGAGUACAGAAGAGGAAAACGGAAUUCCACGUGUAGCGGUGAAAUGCGUAGAGAUGUGGAGGAACACCAGUGGCGAAGGCGGCUUUCUGGGACGUAACUGACGCUAAGGCGCGAAAGCGUGGGGAGCGAACAGG
This 253-nucleotide ribosomal RNA is filed under the name uncultured bacterium. RNAcentral's name for it is "partial 16S ribosomal RNA". It matches the Rfam family "Bacterial small subunit ribosomal RNA", at positions 524 to 776 of the family's 1533-position model. The record is from RNAcentral.